This 495-nucleotide ribosomal RNA is filed under the name uncultured bacterium. RNAcentral describes it as "bacterial SSU rRNA". It matches the Rfam family "Bacterial small subunit ribosomal RNA", at positions 29 to 482 of the family's 1533-position model. The record is from RNAcentral.
AACGAACGCUGGCGGCGUGGAUUAGGCAUGCAAGUCGAACGAGAAUCUGAGAGUUCAAGUUUUCGGACAAGAACUUUUGGAGGAAAGUGGCGGAAGGGUGAGUACAACAUGGAUAAUCUACCUUCAAGUUGGGUAUAGCUUCCCGAAAGGGGAGAUAAUCCCGAAUGUGGUGAUCCGGCGCAUGCCGGAGAAUCCAAAGGCGGGGACCGCAAGGCCUGCCGCUUGGAGAUGAGUCCGUGCACUAUCAGCUAGUUGGCGGGGUAACGGCCCACCAAGGCGAUGACGGUUAGCUGGUCUGAGGGGAUGGUCAGCCACACUGGGACUGAGAUACUGCCCAGACUCCUACGGGAGGCUGCAGUCGAGAAUCAUUCGCAAUGGGCGCAAGCCUGACGGUGCGACGUCGCGUGGAGGAUGAAGGUCUUCGGAUUGUAAAACUCCUGUCAUGUGGGAGAAAUGGCCCGGGUCUGAACAGGACCUGGGAAUGAUAGUACCACG